CUACGAGACAACGGACUCAGAAUAUGAGUC
This 30-nucleotide small RNA is filed under the name Bombyx mori (domestic silkworm). RNAcentral describes it as "ovarian small RNA-14619". Lineage: Eukaryota; Metazoa; Arthropoda; Insecta; Lepidoptera; Bombycidae. The record is from RNAcentral.